GACAGAGGGUGCAAACGUUGUUCGGAAUUACUGGGCGUAAAGCGCGUGUAGGCGGCCCUGCAAGUCGGAUGUGAAAUCCCACGGCUCACCCGUGGAACGGCUGGGUAUACUGGGUGUCUUGAGCCACUUAGGGGCUGCCGGAACAAAUGGUGGAGCGGUGAAAUGCGUAGAUAUCAUUUGGAACGCCAAUGGUGAAAACAGGCAGCUGGGAGUGUGCUGACGCUGAGACACGAAAGCCAGGGGAGCGAACGGG
This 253-nucleotide ribosomal RNA is filed under the name uncultured bacterium. RNAcentral's name for it is "partial 16S ribosomal RNA". It matches the Rfam family "Bacterial small subunit ribosomal RNA", at positions 524 to 776 of the family's 1533-position model. The record is from RNAcentral.